GCCGAUGUAGCUCAGUGGUAGAGCUCUCGCCUUGUAAGUGAGUGGCCGUCGGUUCGAGUCCGACCAUCGGCUCCA
RNAcentral lists this transfer RNA (75 nucleotides) under Ktedonobacter sp. RNAcentral describes it as "tRNA-Thr". It matches the Rfam family "tRNA". From Rfam's summary of the family: Transfer RNA (tRNA) molecules are approximately 80 nucleotides in length. Their secondary structure includes four short double-helical elements and three loops (D, anti-codon, and T loops). The record is from RNAcentral. Lineage: Bacteria; Bacillati; Chloroflexota; Ktedonobacteria; Ktedonobacterales; Ktedonobacteraceae.